This 339-nucleotide unclassified non-coding RNA is filed under the name soil metagenome. Its description in RNAcentral is "partial contains 5.8S ribosomal RNA, internal transcribed spacer 2, and large subunit ribosomal RNA". The stretch from base 1 to 120 matches the Rfam family "5.8S ribosomal RNA", at positions 35 to 154 of the family's 154-position model. The record is from RNAcentral.
GAUGAAGAACGUAGCGAAAUGCGAUAAGUAAUGUGAAUUGCAGAAUUCCGUGAAUCAUCGAAUCUUUGAACGCACAUUGCGCCCCCUGGUAUUCCGGGGGGCAUGCCUGUCCGAGCGUCAUUGCAACCCUCAAGCGCGGCUUGUGUGUUGGGCUUCGUCCCCCCGUGGACGUGUCCGAAAGGCAGUGGCGGCGUCCCGAAUGGUGCCCGAGCGUAUGGGAACUCUCUUCCGCUCGAACCGGCCCAUUCGGCGCUGGUCGAACCCCAAUUUUUUUUUACCGGUUGACCUCGGAUCAGGUAGGGAUACCCGCUGAACUUAAGCAUAUCAAUAAGCGGAGGA